Long non-coding RNA from Wasmannia auropunctata (little fire ant), 710 nucleotides. RefSeq lists it as uncharacterized. The transcript has 2 exons. Lineage: Eukaryota; Metazoa; Arthropoda; Insecta; Hymenoptera; Formicidae. The record is from RefSeq and is a predicted model, not a curated record.
CUCUAGCUAGUCGUGCUUUUCCAAAUUCGACAGACGCGGAAACAAAAAGCGAAAGGCGGUACCGCGUGACAAAGCAGUUGUUGCAUUACGCAUUAAAGAUGUAUGUGUAUCUGCAUCUCGGUAAUCAGACAGGAAGAGGCGAAGUAUAUGCGGCUAGUGAUUUUUUCACGGUGGUCGUACAAUUAAUAAAAAAUUAAGGACAUCUAGCGAGGCAGAAGCGGGAAGAUCAUCUUGUAACACGAUAGGAUACAAUAUCUCAAGAGUUGAUCCACAGCGAUGCUAGAAUCAAGAUGGAACAUUGCUGUCACGAGGAAACGGAGGUGAAGGAGGAGAACCAUUAUCGAUGGUUCAUUAAAGCGAAAUACGACAAUCGUCACGGCACUGCCGAAUGAGCUAACAACGCAAGCCGGAAGAGGAAAUUUGGAGAAGGAAGGGAAUGAUUCGCGAUUGCUCGCCCGCUGUAAUAUCUAGGAUUGUUUCACAUGAUUGUCUCCCAGCUAGGGUUGCCAUAUCAAAAUUUUCAAAAUUAGAACUUACAGAUCAAAAACCCACAUAUCAAUCUCGGACGUAUACAAAAAUUACGUGUAGGUUUGUAAAAUUGAUCAAAACAGUCUACGAAUAAUUAUUUUACAUCUAAUUGUUCAUUAAUAAAUAUAAUAUAUAGUGUGCAGUAAGUUAUAAGCCAUAAGAAAUAGACCAAUUAUGAUCAA